RNAcentral lists this ribosomal RNA (207 nucleotides) under uncultured bacterium. Its description in RNAcentral is "partial 16S ribosomal RNA". It matches the Rfam family "Bacterial small subunit ribosomal RNA", at positions 568 to 774 of the family's 1533-position model. The record is from RNAcentral.
AGCGCAGGCGGGAAGACAAGUUGGAAGUGAAAACCAUGGGCUCAACCCAUGAAUUGCUUUCAAAACUGUUUUUCUUGAGUAGUGCAGAGGUAGAUGGAAUUCCCGGUGUAGCGGUGAAAUGCGUAGAUAUUGGGAAGAACACCAGUGGCGAAGGCGGCUUUCUGGACUGUAACUGACGCUGAGGCUCGAAAGCUAGGGUAGCGAACG